GAUGAACGCUGGCGGCGUGCUUAACACAUGCAAGUCGAACGAAGCAACUUAUUACGAUCCCUUCGGGGUGACGAUUUGUUGACUGAGUGGCGGACGGGUGAGUAACGCGUGGGUAACCUACCUUGUACAGGGGGACAACAGUUGGAAACGACUGCUAAUACCGCAUAAGCGCACGGUAUCGCAUGGUACAGUGUGAAAAGUUUUUUCGGUACAAGAUGGACCCGCGUCUGAUUAGCUAGUUGGUGAGGUAACGGCUCACCAAGGCGACGAUCAGUAGCCGACCUGAGAGGGUGACCGGCCACAUUGGGACUGAGACACGGCCCAAACUCCUACGGGAGGCAGCAGUGGGGAAUAUUGCACAAUGGGCGAAAGCCUGAUGCAGCGACGCCGCGUGAGCGAAGAAGUAUUUCGGUAUGUAAAGCUCUAUCAGCAGGGAAGAUAAUGA
This 445-nucleotide ribosomal RNA is filed under the name bacterium AE2008. Its description in RNAcentral is "bacterial SSU rRNA". It matches the Rfam family "Bacterial small subunit ribosomal RNA", at positions 28 to 454 of the family's 1533-position model. The record is from RNAcentral.